RNAcentral lists this ribosomal RNA (467 nucleotides) under uncultured bacterium. RNAcentral's name for it is "bacterial SSU rRNA". It matches the Rfam family "Bacterial small subunit ribosomal RNA", at positions 337 to 796 of the family's 1533-position model. The record is from RNAcentral.
CCCUACGGGACGCAGCAGUGGGGAAUAUUGCGCAAUGGGCGAAAGCCUGACGCAGCAACGCCGCGUGAGUGAUGAAGGCUUUCGGGUCGUAAAGCUCUGUCGUAAGGGAAAAAAAGCUCAUGGCUAACAUCCAUGAGUUUUGAUGGUACCUUACAAGAAAGCACCGGCUAACUACGUGCCAGCAGCCGCGGUAAUACGUAGGGUGCGAGCGUUGUUCGGAAUUACUGGGCGUAAAGCGCUUGUAGGUGGCUCUAUAAGUCAGAUGUGAAAGCCUGGGGCUUAACCUCAGAAGUGCAUCUGAAACUGCAGAGCUUGAGUAUGGGAGAGGGCAUUGGAAUUCCUGGUGUAGUGGUGAAAUACGUAGAUAUCAGGAGGAACAUCGGUGGCGAAGGCGGAUGUCUGGCCCAAUACUGACACUGAGAAGCGAAAGCGUGGGUAGCAAACAGGAUUAGAUACCCGGGUAGUCC